Molecule: long non-coding RNA, 1490 nt
Organism: Salvia splendens (bonfire salvia)
Lineage: Eukaryota; Viridiplantae; Streptophyta; Magnoliopsida; Lamiales; Lamiaceae
Exons: 2
Source: RefSeq, a predicted model, not a curated record
GGAUUCAAACCUAAAUUUUUGUUAGCUGCUUAAGUAUUUGCAUCUUGUUCUUGUAACUUUGAAUGUUAAAAGAUAGAUUGUUGUUGUUAUACAUGAUUUCCAAAUUGAGUCAUCAUUUAUGUGUUUUAAUCUAUGAAAGUGGUGGACUAUGUUUUCUCCAAUGUUGAUUCGUUAACGUUGAUUGCCUUACCGAAACUGAAGGUGCUCGCUUGUAUUGCAUUACCGGCACUAGUGAGAGCGUCUGUAGUCUAACUCUAAUUCAAUCGAUCUUUCUUGCUUAUGCAGCGACAUUCCCAUGGCCCAGUUCAUCAUUAACAUGAAUGCAGGUAUGCCUCGGUCGCAGAAGUUUAUAUUACAUGUAUUGGAUAACACUCAUCUUUUUGAAGGAUGAGUGUUAAUGAUGCCUAUUGGAAAACCUAGAGUGCCUUACAGAAACCCUGUUGAAGGAACGUGGCAGUGGGUUGGUUUGCUUGAAAGUAUGUGGCUACACAUGUCCAGUAAAUUUGUAUGAAUUACUUGUUUUUUGAAUAACUUGAUAAAAUACAGUAUGAGAGUUCAUCAUAGCUCUACCAUAUUUCCUAUGUUUUAAUCAAAGAUUAGUGCUAUGCUAUCAAGCAUGUCAUCUGUUGCCCCUUAGUUAUUCCUGAAACAAUUGAUUAUUUGAUGUGCAAAGAAGAUGAGUUAUUUCUUGUCCGCUCCCUGCAUUAUAAAAAUAUUAGCUAAGUUUGUUUUUGUUGUUAAAUGGUUCCUUCUUCGAAACGCGUCUGACAGAAGUUAAUAGUUACAGUACUGUGAGCAUGUUAAUUUUAUUGGGGAAAAACAUAGACAAAUAGUUGAGCAAUCAGAUACUUGCUACAAUCUUGUACCUUGGCUGUAUUGAGGAUUCAAAGAGGCUCUAUAUGUACAUUAAUGGAGAUGUGAGUUCUUCAUUCACAACUUGGUACAUACAUAUUUGCUUUUAUUUAUGUACGUAGUAAUUUAUUUUUUUUCCUCCUUUUAUAUUUUUAAAAUCUUUUGAUAACUAUACAUCUCUGUUGCAGCUCACUCUUAGCAUGGCUAUCUAUGAUAUGAUGCAGAGUUUGAAAAGUCGUGUUGGAACUCGCUGUGUGGGAUAAGCUUAUAAUUUGGCAGCUUCUCUCUAUCAUGUGACAAUUGAUAGAGAUGCAUGCAGUGAUCUCAUUUACAAUUUUGCCAUGCCGCUGUCAAGAUUUUCAUAACAAUGGAGCUGUCAAGUGUGCAAAGAUCACGUUUUAAGGCAUUGGUGCCCCUAUUGAUAUAUGUGCACUGAAUGUUCGACAGGACCUAAGUCCUUCAACACUCAGGACCUCUUCAAUAUGGUCUCACUGAUCGGAUAGUUUGGUCACCAAAGUCGACUCUUUCUGUGUAUGUUAAUUGUGAGCUUAUUUUAUUGAUUUUUUUCCAUAAUUACAUAGCAAUAUCAUAUGUUAGAACUUUGAACGGAUCCUUUAAUUUGAGAGUCAAUUUUAUUA